This 314-nucleotide long non-coding RNA is filed under the name Capra hircus (goat). RNAcentral's name for it is "lncRNA (ENSCHIG00000007427.1)". The record is from RNAcentral. Lineage: Eukaryota; Metazoa; Chordata; Mammalia; Artiodactyla; Bovidae.
UAUUAAUAUUUUUAUUUUAUAGAUAGAGCCCUGAGGCACAGAGAGAUCACUCAGCUAUUAAGUGGUACUAUCAGGAUUCAAUUCAGAGCAGCCAGCUCCAGAGCCCACACUGUUAAAAACGAGGAUCCUGGAGUCAACAGCCUGGCUUCACAUUCUGGCUUCAUCUACAACACUGCGGUUAGUUCCUGGCCCCCCUGGGAUGAACUUGAUGCUUCUCACUACAGCACUGGGCUUCCCAGGUGGCUCAGUAGUAAAGAAUCCACCUCCAAUGCAGAAGACAUGGGUUCAGUCCCUGGGAUGGGAAGAUUCCCUGG